RNAcentral lists this long non-coding RNA (1463 nucleotides) under Homo sapiens (human). RNAcentral describes it as "HSALNT0317462". The record is from RNAcentral. Lineage: Eukaryota; Metazoa; Chordata; Mammalia; Primates; Hominidae.
GGGCUGCUCGCCCCGCCCCCGCGCGGCGCUGGGAGGCGGGAGCUGUCUCUGAGAACCUGCGGGAGAGCGCCCGGGCUUGCUGCUUCCCGGACCCGCGCGUCUCUCGAGCACCCUCGUCCCACCACCUUGUGAGGCCGUAGUGUUAUUUUUAUUUUUUAGAUCAGCAGACUGAGACUCGAGGUGACGUCACUCCGCAGAGAGGUUAGAGCACAGCAGACUGAGCCACCCAGAACUGGCCCCUCCGGUGGACCAGCCCCUGCGGAUUCACAGACCACUGGUCCUGGAAGGGACCUUGUCAAGCAGGCCCAUAAGGUAAUCCCUCCCCGGAAAGAGAAGAUCACAGAUUUUGUCAUAUUAAAUACAUUGUAGAAAUUCAUGGUAGCAGGGGCAAGAUCAUUUAAACAAAACAGAAAGUUUCAGAGAGAGAAAAAGCCAAGGACAAAGAUUAAUCAUUUUUCUGCUUAAAAAAAAUGGCUUUGAUUUGCAACCAUGGAAUGCUCCACUGUUUCUCUUCUCUUCAAAGACAUCUACUGAAAGGAUUCCUUAACCUUACCAAGUGGCCAAAAUACUUUUCUGAGAAGAGUCACAGAGCAUAGGCCCCCCUAGGGUACACAGAGAUUUCAUUAGUCCCUAGAUGUUUCCUGAUCCUUUUAAAAACUGGUUAAAUUCAGAGACUCUAGGCAAUUACUUCUUUCAGAACCUGUGAGGCAAAAACGAAAGAAGAAGGCAGGACACGCAGUGUAACAAACCUUGGAAUGGACUUCGCCAGACUUCAUCAGAAGAAAGCAGUGCAAGAGGGGACUGCAGAGGAAAGCUGGGGCUUGGGAAACCAGCAGCAGGGGCCACGUGGGCAGGUGGUUUCUGUGUGAACCUCUGAUCUGUGCAACAUAAACAGGAAAUGUUGAAGGCUUCCAGUGCUCUUUUUUGAUGUCGAGAACAUUCUACGGCACAAAAGAGUUUGCCUCUCACUGUUUCUCAUAUAUGGAGGUUUUCUAAUCAGCAUCCUGAACAGAAUUGAAUUAAAAAUAAAAACCAAAGUAAAACUAGCUUUAUCUCUAGAUUUUAAAAUUUUCAUUUUUUUUAGGGUGGCACCUAUACUGUUACCUUGUAGGUACCAACUAGAAUAUUCUUUCUAACUGCCUGUCAUUCAUGGUUUACCUACUUGGAAGCUUAACCCUGUCCAAGACUGGACCCUAGUCAACACAAAUUUUAUCUUAAUUUUAUGAAGGUCUUUCCCACCCCUAAUAUUCUGGCAUUCUUAAAUAUGCUGCUCAGCUGUGCUUGUCAAAGGCAAUUGCGUUUGCUACAUUUCAGAAGAGAGUCCAGACAGAGCCCAUUUGGCUCUGUGCUAGGAACGGCUGCAGUGCAAGACUGUGGAGCUCUGUGGCUGACCACAGCUGAAACUCACUUUGAUCUUGCUAGAUGCCGCCAAGUUGGAAAAAAUUAACUAAGACUGCAGGGUC